RNAcentral lists this non-coding RNA (96 nucleotides) under Scytonema tolypothrichoides. RNAcentral describes it as "TPP sequence". It matches the Rfam family "TPP riboswitch aptamer (THI element)". From Rfam's summary of the family: Vitamin B(1) in its active form thiamin pyrophosphate (TPP) is an essential coenzyme that is synthesised by coupling of pyrimidine and thiazole moieties in bacteria. Lineage: Bacteria; Bacillati; Cyanobacteriota; Cyanophyceae; Nostocales; Scytonemataceae. The record is from RNAcentral.
UUCUCAUGCUAGGGGUGCCUGCACAUCAGGCUGAGAUUACACCCUUAACACCUGAAUCCGGGUAAUACCGGCGGAGGGAAGCUGUUUAUCGAGGAA